GAUGAACGCUAGCUACAGGCUUAACACAGGCAAGUCGAGGGGUAACGAGAGGAAAGCUUGCUUUCCUUGUCGACGACCGGCGCACGGGUGAGUAACGCGUAUCCAACCUGCCCCCAACUAGGGAAUAACCUUGCGAAAGUAAGACUAAUACCCUAUAAUUUCCUCAGAUGACACCUGACGAGGAAUAAAGAUUUAUCGGUUGUGGAUGGGGAUGCGUCUGAUUAGCUUGUUGGCGGGGUAACGGCGCACCAAGGCAACGAUCAGUAGGGGUUCUGAGAGGAAGGUCCCCCACAUUGGAACUGAGACACGUUCCAAACUCCUACGGGAGGCAUCAGUGAGGAAUAUUGGUCAAUGGGCGGAAGCCUGAACCAGCCUAGUGGCGUGCAGGACGACGGCCCUAUGGGUUGUAAACUGCUUUUAUACAGUAAUAAAGUUAGCCACGUGUGGUUAUUUGUAGGUACUGUAUGAAUAAGGACCGGCUAAUUCCGGGCCAGCAGCAGCCGCGG
This 506-nucleotide ribosomal RNA is filed under the name uncultured bacterium. Its description in RNAcentral is "partial 16S ribosomal RNA". It matches the Rfam family "Bacterial small subunit ribosomal RNA", at positions 28 to 523 of the family's 1533-position model. The record is from RNAcentral.